GUUGUAUAGUCAAGUAAUUAAGUGCAUGUGGUGGAUGCCUUGGCAGUCAGAGGCGAUGAAAGACGUGAUAGCCUGCGAAAAGCUCCGGGGAGGCGGCAAAUAUCCUUUGAUCCGGAGAUGUCUGAAUGGGGGAACCCACCUACUUUAAGGUAGGUAUUGCAACAUGAAUACAUAGUGUUGCAAGGCGAACGAGGGGAAGUGAAACAUCUCAGUACCCUUAGGAAAAGAAAUCAAUUGAGAUUCCCUCAGUAGCGGCGAGCGAACGGGGAUCAGCCCAUUAAGUUAUGUGUGUUUUAGUGGAACGCUCUGGGAAGUGCGAACGUAGAGGGUGAUAUUCCCGUACACGAAAGGGCACACAUAAUGAUGACGAGUAGGGCGAGGCACGUGAAACCUUGUCUGAAUAUGGGGGGACCAUCCUCCAAGGCUAAAUACUCCUGACUGACCGAUAGUGAACCAGUACCGUGAGGGAAAGGCGAAAAGAACCCCUGUGAGGGGAGUGAAAUAGAUCCUGAAACCGCAUGCAUACAAGCAGUGGGAGCACCUUCGUGGUGUGACUGCGUACCUUUUGUAUAAUGGGUCAGCGACUUAUAUUCAGUAGCGAGGUUAACCGUAUAGGGGAGCCGUAGAGAAAUCGAGUCUUAAUAGGGCGUUUAGUUGCUGGGUAUAGACCCGAAACCAGGCGAUCUAUCCAUGAGCAGGUUGAAGGUUGGGUAACACUAACUGGAGGACCGAACCCACUGUCGUUGAAAAGCCAGGGGAUGACUUGUGGAUAGGGGUGAAAGGCUAAUCAAGCCUGGUGAUAGCUGGUUCUCCCCGAAAGCUAUUUAGGUAGCGCCUCGGACGAAUACCAUAGGGGGUAGAGCACUGUUUCGGCUAGGGGGUCAUCCCGACUUACCAAACCGAUGCAAACUCCGAAUACCUAUGAGUACUAUCCGGGAGACAGACUGCGGGUGCUAACGUCCGUAGUCAAGAGGAAAACAAUCCAGACCGCCAGCUAAGGCCCCAAAAUCAUAGUUAAGUGGGAAACGAUGUGGGAAGGCAUAGACAGCUAGGAGGUUGGCUUAGAAGCAGCCACCCUUUAAAGAAAGCGUAAUAGCUCACUAGUCGAGUCGGCCUGCGCGGAAGAUGUAACGGGGCUAAAACUAUGUGCCGAAGCUGCGGAUGUAUACUUUGUAUACGUGGUAGGGGAGCGUUCUGUAAGCCGAUGAAGGUGUGUUGAGAAGCAUGCUGGAGGUAUCAGAAGUGCGAAUGCUGACGUGAGUAACGACAAAACGGGUGAAAAACCCGUUCGCCGAAAGACCAAGGGUUCCAGUCCAACGUUAAUCGGGGCUGGGUGAGUCGACCCCUAAGGCGAGGCCGAAAGGCGUAGUCGAUGGGAAAAUGGUUAAUAUUCCAUUACUUCUGUGUAAUGCGAUGAGAGGACGGAGAAGGCUAAAUCAGCCUGGCGUUGGUUGUCCAGGUGAAAGGAUGUAGGCAUGUAUCUUAGGCAAAUCCGGGGUACUCUAUGCUGAGAUCUGAUAGCAAGCUGUACUUGUGCAGCGAAGUGGUUGAUGCCAUGCUUCCAGGAAAAGUCUCUAAGCUUCAGUUACACAGGAAUCGUACCCGAAACCGACACAGGUGGUCAGGUCGAGUAGACCAAGGCGCUUGAGAGAACUCUGCUGAAGGAACUAGGCAAAAUGGUACCGUAACUUCGGGAGAAGGUACGCUGUUGUUGGUGAUGGAACUCGCUUCCUGAGCUGACGACAGCCGCAGAAACCAGGCCGCUGCAACUGUUUAUUAAAAACAUAGCACUCUGCAAACACGAAAGUGGACGUAUAGGGUGUGAUGCCUGCCCGGUGCUGGAAGGUUAAUUGAUGGGGUUAGCGUAAGCGAAGCUCUUGAUCGAAGCCCCAGUAAACGGCGGCCGUAACUAUAACGGUCCUAAGGUAGCGAAAUUCCUUGUCGGGUAAGUUCCGACCUGCACGAAUGGCAUAAUGAUGGCGGCGCUGUCUCCAGCAGAGGCUCAGUGAAAUCGAAAUCGCUGUGAAGAUGCAGUGUACCCGCGGCUAGACGGAAAGACCCCGUGAACCUUUACUGCAGCUUGACACUGAACUUUGACCUUACUUGUGUAGGAUAGGUGGGAGGCUUUGAAGCUGGAACGCUAGUUCCAGUGGAGCCGUCCUUGAAAUACCACCCUGGUAAUGUUGAGGUUCUAACUCUGUCCCGUGAUCCGGGACGAGGACCGUGUCUGGUGGGUAGUUUGACUGGGGCGGUCUCCUCCUAAAGAGUAACGGAGGAGUACGAAGGUGCGCUCAGCGUGGUCGGAAAUCACGCGUAGAGUAUAAAGGCAAAAGCGCGCUUAACUGCGAGACCCACAAGUCGAGCAGGUACGAAAGUAGGUCUUAGUGAUCCGGUGGUUCUGUAUGGAAGGGCCAUCGCUCAACGGAUAAAAGGUACUCUGGGGAUAACAGGCUGAUACCGCCCAAGAGUUCAUAUCGACGGCGGUGUUUGGCACCUCGAUGUCGGCUCAUCUCAUCCUGGGGCUGAAGCAGGUCCCAAGGGUAUGGCUGUUCGCCAUUUAAAGAGGUACGCGAGCUGGGUUUAGAACGUCGUGAGACAGUUCGGUCCCUAUCUACCGUGGGCGCUGGAAAUUUGAGAGGAUCUGCUCCUAGUACGAGAGGACCAGAGUGGACGAACCUCUGGUGUACCGGUUGUGACGCCAGUCGCAUCGCCGGGUAGCUAUGUUCGGAAGGGAUAACCGCUGAAAGCAUCUAAGCGGGAAGCCUACCUCAAGAUAAGAUUUCCCUAGGACUUUAUGUCCUCUAAAGAGCCGUUCGAGACUAGGACGUUGAUAGGUUGGAUGUGGAAGCAUAGUGAUAUGUGAAGCUGACCAAUACUAAUUGCUCGUGAGGCUUGACUAUACAACACCCAAGCAGUUG
RNAcentral lists this ribosomal RNA (2918 nucleotides) under Acinetobacter baumannii AB0057. RNAcentral describes it as "23S ribosomal RNA from Acinetobacter baumannii AB0057 (PDB 7UVW, chain A)". It matches the Rfam family "Bacterial large subunit ribosomal RNA". The record is from RNAcentral. Lineage: Bacteria; Pseudomonadati; Pseudomonadota; Gammaproteobacteria; Moraxellales; Moraxellaceae.